GCUGGAGUGGCGCAAUUGGUAGCGCAGCUGAUUUGUAAUCAGAAGGUUGCGGGUUCAAGUCCUGUUUCCAGCA
This 73-nucleotide transfer RNA is filed under the name Caudoviricetes sp. RNAcentral's name for it is "tRNA-Thr". It matches the Rfam family "tRNA". From Rfam's summary of the family: Transfer RNA (tRNA) molecules are approximately 80 nucleotides in length. Lineage: Duplodnaviria; Heunggongvirae; Uroviricota; Caudoviricetes. The record is from RNAcentral.